AACCCAUGUGGGUCCCUCUCCAUUUCAGGUCAAACCCAUAUCUUUUCAAGAACAAAUUGACAUUCCUAAUUAGUUUGCACAGUCAGUGUUUUUGUUACAGCGUGUGUUACUAUGCUGCUAUUAUUUGAGAAGAAACCAAGGCAACGAUGUUGCGAUCUAAACUGCUGACAAUAUGUCAGUGUGUGACUCAGUACAUCAGGUCCUCCUUGCCGGAGUUGAAUCUGUUGCAUAGGUCGAUCAAUUAGCUAUCGGUUGCUUAGCUGUUGUCAAUACUACUACUGUGGGAGUUUCCGAUGCCUAACGUUACUGUGCAAGUCUGCCCACCGUAUUUCUGCUUUAGGCUUUGUAAAUAUCGGAGUCAAAAAUGUGUACGUUUUUAAUGCUGAAUCAGUGUUUGGUGCAAAAUGCUGUCUUCAGACAGUUGUUGUGGUGUUUCUUGCUAUGGCUUGCCUGCAAAUAGGAAAAAUAAAAGUUGUUUUAUAUCGACUUGGAAGGGAAUAACAGAUCUACUUGUUGGCUUGGCCAGCUUCAGCGUGCGGUUAAGCAACACUCCCUAUGUAGUGUAGCUUUGCUUUCAUCUGCAAUGUUACUGGUUGCUACCUAGAUGGCAGGCUCUGCCUAUUUCGAAAGGGAGUGGCUUGUGCACAAUAUCUUCUAAAACGAUCAACCGUAUUAAGGGUGUUUUGCGUUUCUUACUUUCAUUUUCUGUAUUUUGCACUUUGUCACUAGACACACCAUUUAAUACGGUUUUGUUUGAUUUAGCAAAAUGCAGGCUUGAGUUUUAGGCUUUGUUCUUUGUACAGUUUCUCAUUUUAAAUUAAAAGGCCAAACUAAUAAAUAGAUGUAUUUAUUUAUCUUUUAUUAUUUUAAAAUGUUCUUGUAAUAUAGGCAUCCUGUUCUGUUGAUAUGAAAUUAGAUAGUGGUUCUGGUAUGUAGCUUUUCUAAACCUUGUUUUAAGUGACUAAGAGAAAUUAAUAGAGCUUAUUGAAGUGUGAUCGCUGCUGUGGUAUCUAAAUAAAAUCCUCUUUGACAUUUCA
Oncorhynchus tshawytscha (Chinook salmon) is the source of this 1037-nucleotide long non-coding RNA. Lineage: Eukaryota; Metazoa; Chordata; Actinopteri; Salmoniformes; Salmonidae. The record is from Ensembl.